RNAcentral lists this transfer RNA (61 nucleotides) under Ictidomys tridecemlineatus (thirteen-lined ground squirrel). RNAcentral describes it as "Spermophilus tridecemlineatus (thirteen-lined ground squirrel) tRNA". It matches the Rfam family "tRNA", at positions 6 to 65 of the family's 71-position model. From Rfam's summary of the family: Transfer RNA (tRNA) molecules are approximately 80 nucleotides in length. Their secondary structure includes four short double-helical elements and three loops (D, anti-codon, and T loops). The record is from Rfam by way of RNAcentral. Lineage: Eukaryota; Metazoa; Chordata; Mammalia; Rodentia; Sciuridae.
UGCAGCUCAGUGGUAGAGUGCUUGCCUAGCAUGCAUGAGGCACUGGGUUCAAUUCUCAGCA